Molecule: long non-coding RNA, 260 nt
Organism: Sander lucioperca (pikeperch)
Lineage: Eukaryota; Metazoa; Chordata; Actinopteri; Perciformes; Percidae
Exons: 5
Source: RefSeq, a predicted model, not a curated record
CCCAAAGUAUAGAAUGAAAUAUUACACUGACUCACUUACCGUUUUAAUGUUUCCAGAUGUAUGAUAUCAGGACGAUGAGCUGACAGAACUGACAAGUUGAACGUUGUCCAAUUAGAACGGACCCACCGCGGUGACGCUUUUGGUGGAGCUGGUCGUUUAAUAGUCGACUUGGAAGAAAGCAAACGUUUUGACAAUAAACUCCAUCAACACAACAGUAUAUAUCUUCAGAGGCCAUAAGGUCCAGGCAGAACCCUUUUUUU